RNAcentral lists this unclassified non-coding RNA (272 nucleotides) under plant metagenome. Its description in RNAcentral is "partial contains small subunit ribosomal RNA, internal transcribed spacer 1, and 5.8S ribosomal RNA". The record is from RNAcentral.
UUUCCGUAGGUGAACCUGCGGAAGGAUCAUUAAUGAGUUGUCAUGGGGUUCGAUGCUGGCAGCCAGUUUUUGGAUGCAUGUGCUUGCCCUAACAAUCAUCUUCUUCCAAACACCUGUGCACAUUCUUGAGGGAGUCUUGAGUUGGUUGCCGCUCUUGGGUGAUUUUCUCACAUUCCCUUAAAUCAUUAUACGCUAUUAACAAUGUUGAACGUGCUCUGUGCCGCAAGGCCAUUAAUAUAAUACAACUUUUAACAACGGAUCUCUUGGCUCUC